RNAcentral lists this ribosomal RNA (199 nucleotides) under uncultured bacterium. RNAcentral's name for it is "partial 16S ribosomal RNA". It matches the Rfam family "Bacterial small subunit ribosomal RNA", at positions 1302 to 1500 of the family's 1533-position model. The record is from RNAcentral.
AGCUGCAACUCGACUGCAUGAAGCCGGAAUCGCUAGUAAUCGCGGAUCAGAAUGCCGCGGUGAAUACGUUCCCGGGUCUUGUACACACCGCCCGUCACACCAUGGGAGUCGGAAAUGCCCGAAGCCGGUGGCCUAACCGAUAAGGGAGGAGCCGUCGAAGGCAGGUCUGAUGACUGGGGUGAAGUCGUAACAAGGUACC